AAAGGUUGCCAGGAAGCGAGAACCGCGCAGACCGAGACCCACCUGGGGGAAGCUCGGGCCCCCCCCCCCGUGGUGUUGGCAGGUCCCCAGACGCGGGCGGGCCGGAAUCUGAGCUCAUCUGUGGCUGCCUGUUUGCUGAAGUGCCUGGGCCCCAGGAAAAGUGAGAACAUGAGAUUUCCAAUGUUCUACAGUGAUUGAUCUACAAAACCAUCAGUGUGACAUGACAGCAUCACCAGGGGCUGACGGAGCUGUACAGAGUCAUGCAGGAUGGGGGCAGCAGGUGGCACCAGAGGUUUCCCUUUGACAGACUGUCCUCGAGGAACCAGGGGUUCUCAAUUGCACGACAAAGAUGUUCCCCGUCUACGCCGGCGCUGGUCUGAGUGAGGGUUCCAGGCCAGUGUUCUGACCAGGAUGGGAACACAGAGGAUGAGGUUGUGGAAACACGUGGAUGCUGUCACUGCGUCGACUGAAAAGAUUUGGAGGGUCCCUUCUGAAGUUAACAAAGCCACGUUUCAAAUGGCUCUUGCUGGUGAGUUCUAUAGAUUUACCGUCUUCAUUCGUCCCCAUGUGUCCACGGAGGACACGGUGCAAAACCCAGUGGAUGCCCGAAGCCACAGAUGGCACGGAAACCCACAGAGGGUGUUUUUUCCUACACGCACUCUCCUAUGGCUUAGUUUAAUUCAUAAAUUAGGCACAGUAAGGGGUUGACAGCAAUCAUUCUCUUUGGCAUGUCUGAAUUGCCAGCAUCACUGCUCUUCGCUUUGGGGCCAUUACUGGGUAAAAGAAGUGUUCCUGGAACACAGGCACUGCCAUACCACGACAGUCCAUCUGAUAACUGAGAUGGCCACUAAGUGACUAACGGGCGGGUAGCACAGCGUGGAUCCGAUGGACGAAGGGGGAGUCACGUCCUGGGCAGGCUGGAGGGGACAGCACGAGAUUUCAUCACACUUCUCAGGACGCAUGCAAUUCACAACUUAUGAAUUGUUUCUUUCUGGAAUUUUCCGUUUAAUACUUUUGGACCACAGCUGACCUCUGGUAACUGAAUCUGGAAAGGGGAACCGAGGGCUGGGGGCUGCUGUACUACAUGGAAUAGGAUUUUGAAGUUUACCUUACGUUUACUUUUCCUUCAAGUAUCAAAUGUUGCCCUAAAAUUCCUGUUAGAACUUGGUGAUUCAGUCCAUUCUCCGUAUCCUCCUCCCCCAUUUGGCGAUUUCAGUCUUUUUGGCUUGUUUCUUUGGAUGAAGGGACCCCAAGUUCUAGUGCAUGGUGACAAGCUGGGAAAGUCACAUGUCGAGGACGACAUCUGUGACGACACAGGAGGAGGAGGACCCUGGGAGUCACAGCGGGGUCAGACGGGUCUCAGCACACGGCUCCACGCAGAUCGGCCGCCACAUGUGGGCUGCGCUCUCUGCAGAUGGAACAGAGAGGCUGGACUGCAGCAGUUCAUGCUUGCCCCAGGUGAACGUGUUAAAGACGUCACUACUGUCGUCUUUAUCCUGCGCUUUCCAACCACGCGUGCUUCUGUGUUCUGUGAUCCAAGCUUGCAACCUUCCUUGACUUCUUCCUUUGUUUCCUUCGUAGGUUUUCUUCAAGUCACCAACUUCCGUCAGUUCUGGAGCAGCCUCUCCCCACCCCAUCUCCCCGGCGUUGCUCAGUCCUGCUCCUUCCCUGUCACUCUCACUGUCACUGUCUCCAAGUCCAGUGACGGCCACAUAGUUCCUCUGUCGGUUUAUUCUUUCAGUCAUCAAUGUUCUUUUUUCUCCACAGGAUCAAAUCCGUAGGGCCCCCGAAAUUUGGCAAUGCCCCACCCUCCUCCUAGUCUUCAGUACCAAUAUCCCAAACAACACGUGCAUGGUCUUUCUCAUCGUAAAUCUUGGUCAUGGAGCUUCCCCGAAAUGAGAUCCCCUCCUCUCUCAUAUGUACUAAAGUGAACUGGCCUCGAGGCUCAGCUGCUUUCCACCUGCUAACGGAGAAAUCUCUGAUCGUGGCAGCACCAGCGUCUCGUGCACGGGAAGCAAGGCCGCUUCGAACACACCUCAUUCAGCGCCCAGGCUGCCUGCUCCUGCCCUGGCCCGUGGCUCUCCCUGAGAACAGGACUUCCCACUGGGAGGCAGGAGUUUCUGGACUGUGGGUCCCACGUUCCUGCGUAGAGAUGAAAUGCUGAGUGAUCAGAACCGCGUGUCCCCUGUGCUCAGCUUCUAAAUCAAGAGCCAGAGGAAGAUGGGGGAUGCGACACCUGAAAGUCCCCGAGGUCAUUUGGGGCCAGCGUCUCACAUCGGGUUCCAGAAUCAACAAGUCGGUGUGCUAGGGUUUACUCUCCAUCUGUUUUCUUAGAAAAAACAGUCAGACGCUUCGUUCCAACAGGACUCCCUCCCGCUGACUCUGUGACGUUAACUGUAGAAACAGCCACGACGUUGAAAGGUUUGAAGACUCAGACCCACACGGCUAAAGAAAAGGAAAGGACAGUUUUCUUUGGUUUUAUUGCUAAAUACGCUUAUACGUAUGACACAAUCACACGAUUCUACACAACACACUUACACAACAGAUAAUUAACACACCAUGAGAAGGCCAAACAAACCGUAGAUAUGAGGUAUCGUUUCUAAGUUCCCCAAUUUUAUGAAGCAAAACAUAUUGACCUACAGCCAAAAUUAUCAUUUGAACAGUCAGCUAAACACACCGUUUAAGAAAAGGAUUAUAAAGCUCUUUGUACUCAUAAAUAAUCAAAUCCAAUCUCACAGUAUAAAAGAGUUUUAGUAGUUGUGAAAUAAUAUAAAAAUGUGAAGUUGUGGCUUUUUAAAGUUCGAUUCACCUACAAUAGCACGUAUACUGUGUCGGUGACGGAUAUUUGAGAUUUAAAGUAUUGGUAACACAGACAUAAUCAGACUUAAACAUUUUAAUGUUUUGUGGUACUUUUCACCCAGAUAGUAACUCACUACUUUGUGAUUAUUAGUAUAAAUAACGAGGUGUAUCCUGUGUAUUUCGUUCUUGUAAUAAACGUUCGCUGAAUGCUGUUGCCCACCUCGUAUAUUCACCGGAACCUUCCUUUCAGGAAAGGACGGUGGGAAACCAAGAGGGCCGUGAGCUGAUUACAGGCCCAGAUGUGUGCCACGGCCUGGAGCUGCAGGCUGUCACUGUUCCUUAAUUAGGCUGACAGAAACCUCACACCCGUGUUGGCCGGAAAACAGACUCAUUCACAUAACACUACACUGAGACAAAGGCAAAUACUUCAAUACAUAAUUCAGUAGGUUCUAAAAUUGUUAGUGGAAACAAGCUGAAAACCCUCAAAACUCGCAACACGUAAGGAAACGUGCUCUUGAGGUAAGGU
This 3325-nucleotide long non-coding RNA is filed under the name Equus caballus (horse). RNAcentral's name for it is "lncRNA (ENSECAG00000040835.2)". Lineage: Eukaryota; Metazoa; Chordata; Mammalia; Perissodactyla; Equidae. The record is from RNAcentral.